UACGAAGGGGGCUAGCGUUGCUCGGAAUCACUGGGCGUAAAGGGUGCGUAGGCGGGUCUUUAAGUCAGGGGGGAAAUCCUGGAGCUCAACUCCAGAACUGCCUUUGAUACUGAAGAUCUUGAGUUCGGGAGAGGUGAGUGGAACUGCGAGUGUAGAGGUGAAAUUCGUAGAUAUUCGCAAGAACACCAGUGGCGAAGGCGGCUCACUGACCCGAAACUGACGCUGAGGCACGAAAGCGUGGGGAGCAAACAGG
This 253-nucleotide ribosomal RNA is filed under the name uncultured bacterium. Its description in RNAcentral is "partial 16S ribosomal RNA". It matches the Rfam family "Bacterial small subunit ribosomal RNA", at positions 524 to 776 of the family's 1533-position model. The record is from RNAcentral.